This 524-nucleotide ribosomal RNA is filed under the name uncultured bacterium. RNAcentral's name for it is "bacterial SSU rRNA". It matches the Rfam family "Bacterial small subunit ribosomal RNA", at positions 15 to 518 of the family's 1533-position model. The record is from RNAcentral.
GAUAUGGCUCAGAACGAACGCUGGCGGCGUGCUUAACACAUGCAAGUCGAACGCGAAAGGGACUUCGGUCCUGAGUAAAGUGGCGCACGGGUGAGUAACGCGUAGAUAACCUGUCUUUAUGUCUGGAAUAAUACGCCGAAAGGGGUACUAAUACCGGAUAUUUUUGCAUUGCAUAAGCAGUGUAAGCAAAGGUGGCCUCUGACAUAAGCUACUGCAUAAAGAGGGGUCUGCGUACCAUUAGCUAGUAGGUGGGGUAAAGGCCUACCUAGGCUACGAUGGUUAGCGGGUCUGAGAGGAUGAUCCGCCACACUGGCACUGGAACACGGGCCAGACUCCUACGGGAGGCAGCAGUGAGGAAUAUUGCGCAAUGGGGGCAACCCUGACGCAGCGACGCCGCGUGAAGUGAGGAAGGCCUUCGGGUCGUAAAGCUCUGUCAAAGGGAAAGAAGUGCAUGGUGGUUAAUACCUGCCAUGUUUGACGGUACCCUUAAAGGAAGCACCGGCUAACUCCGUGCCAGCCGCCGC